UGGAAGCAGCCAUUCAUUUAAAGAGUGCGUAACAGCUCACUAGUCGAGCGGUUGAGCGUGGAUAAUAAUCGGGCAUAAGCAUAUUACCGAAGCUAUGGAAUCAAUAUUUAGGUAUUGAAUUGGUAGGGGAGCAUUCCAAUAGACGCAGAAGGAUAUAUGUGAGUAUAUCUGGAGUAAUUGGAAAAGCAAAUGUAGGCAUGAGUAACGAUAAUGCGGGUGAGAAACCUGCACACCGAUAGACUAAGGCUUCCGCGGCAAUGCUAAUCAACCGCGGGUUAGUCGGGGCCUAAGGCGUACCCAAAAGGGGAAGUCGAUGGAUAAUCGGUUAAUAUUCCGAUACCUUCUGUUACUGCGAAGGGGAGACGAAGAAGUGACAAGUCCGCGUACUGACGGAAUAGUACGUUAAAGGGAGUAGGCACAGGGAUGGUUAAUAGCCGUUCUUGCCGAACCUGACAGUACCGUGCGCCUUCGGGCAAGCGGAUAGUGACUGUAAGCAGACUUCCGAGAAAAUCCUCUAAGCUCUAGGUAACAGGAGCCCGUACCGCAAACCGACACAGGUAGUCAAGGAGAGAAUCCUGAGGUGCUCGAGUGAGUCGUGGCUAAGGAACUAGGCAAAAUAACCCCGUAACUUCGGGAAAAGGGGAACCCAACGCAAGUUGGGUCGCAGAGAAAUGGUCCAGGCGACUGUUUAACAAAAACACAUGGCUUUGCAAAAUCGAAAGAUGACGUAUAAGGCCUGACACCUGCCCGGUGCCGGAAGGUUAAGAGGGGAUGUCAACCGCAAGGAGAAGCAUUGAAUCGAAGCCCCGGUAAACGGCGGCCGUAACUAUAACGGUCCUAAGGUAGCGAAAUUCCUUGUCGGGUAAGUUCCGACCUGCACGAAUGGUGUAACGAUCUGGGCACUGUCUCAGCCACGAGCUCGGUGAAAUUGUAGUUCCGGUGAAGAUGCCGGAUACCCGCGACGGGACGGAAAGACCCCGUGAACCUUUACUGCAGCUUCACAUUGAUUUUGGGUAAGUAAUGUGUAGGAUAGGUCGGAGACUGUGAUCCUGCUUCGCUAGGAGUAGGUUAGUCAUCCUUGAAAUACGACCCUUUGCUUAUUUGGAAUCUAAUCCUGAAAGGGAGACAGUGUGUGGUGGGUAGUUUGACUGGGGUGGUCGCCUCCAAAAGAGUAACGGAGGCUCCCAAAGGUGCCCUCAGCACGCUUGGUAACCGUGCGAAGAGUGUAAUGGCAAAAGGGCGCUUGACUGUGAGACAUACAAGUCGAUCAGGAAGGAAACUUGGGCAUAGUGAUCCGGUGGUUCCGAAUGGAAGGGCCAUCGCUCAAAGGAUAAAAGGUACUCCGGGGAUAACAGGCUGAUC
This 1362-nucleotide ribosomal RNA is filed under the name activated sludge metagenome. RNAcentral describes it as "bacterial LSU rRNA". It matches the Rfam family "Bacterial large subunit ribosomal RNA", at positions 1107 to 2487 of the family's 2925-position model. The record is from RNAcentral.